This 301-nucleotide ribosomal RNA is filed under the name uncultured bacterium. RNAcentral describes it as "partial 16S ribosomal RNA". It matches the Rfam family "Bacterial small subunit ribosomal RNA", at positions 509 to 807 of the family's 1533-position model. The record is from RNAcentral.
CAGUCGCCACGGUAAUACGAAGGGGGCUAGCGUUGUUCGGAAUUACUGGGCGUAAAGCGCACGUAGGCGGAUACUUAAGUCAGGGGUGAAAUCCCGGGGCUCAACCCCGGAACUGCCUUUGAUACUGGGUAUCUCGAGUCCGGAAGAGGUGAGUGGAAUUCCGAGUGUAGAGGUGAAAUUCGUAGAUAUUCGGAGGAACACCAGUGGCGAAGGCGGCUCACUGGUCCGGUACUGACGCUGAGGUGCGAAAGCGUGGGGAGCAAACAGGAUUAGAUACCCCGGUAGUCCCUGUCUCUUAUAC